Molecule: unclassified non-coding RNA, 198 nt
Filed under: plant metagenome
Description: partial contains small subunit ribosomal RNA and internal transcribed spacer 1
Rfam family: Eukaryotic small subunit ribosomal RNA (bases 1-47)
Source: RNAcentral
AAAGUCGUAACAAGGUUUCCGUAGGUGAACCUGCGGAAGGAUCAUUCCUAGUAGUUGGUGGGCUUUGCCCGCUAUCUACUUACCCAGUGUCUUUUGAGUACUUACGAUUUCCGUCGGUGGGUUCGGCCCGCCGAUUGGACAAUUUAAAACCAUUUGCAGUUGCAAAUCAGCGUCUGAAAAAAAACAUAAUAGUUACAA